RNAcentral lists this transfer RNA (77 nucleotides) under Pseudomonadota bacterium. Its description in RNAcentral is "Proteobacteria bacterium tRNA-Val". It matches the Rfam family "tRNA". Rfam says of the family: Transfer RNA (tRNA) molecules are approximately 80 nucleotides in length. Their secondary structure includes four short double-helical elements and three loops (D, anti-codon, and T loops). RNAcentral also lists the same sequence under 1 other name. The record is from RNAcentral. Lineage: Bacteria; Pseudomonadati; Pseudomonadota.
GGGCACGUAGCUCAGCUGGUUAGAGCGCUACCUUGACAUGGUAGAGGUCCGGGGUUCGAGUCCCUGCGUGCCCACCC